RNAcentral lists this small RNA (676 nucleotides) under Pan troglodytes (chimpanzee). RNAcentral's name for it is "processed transcript". Lineage: Eukaryota; Metazoa; Chordata; Mammalia; Primates; Hominidae. The record is from RNAcentral.
GCGGCCGCACUGGCCAGCAGCCCCUCCGAGGGCUGGCUUCGGACCAAGGCCAAGCACCAGCGUGGCCGAGGCGAGCUUGCCAGUGAGUAGGGAAGGAGCUUCAGGGGGAGCAGGAGACCCCUGCUUCAGGCCUGCCCUGAGUCCCGGCUCUGGCCCUGCAGGCGAGGUGCUGGCUGUGCUAAAGGUGGACAACCGUGUUGUGGGGCAGACGGGCUGGGGGCAGGUGGCCGAACAGUCCUGGGACCAGACCUUUGUCAUCCCACUGGAGCGAGCCCGUGAGCUGGAGAUUGGGGUACACUGGCGGGACUGGCGGCAGCUAUGUGGCGUGGCCUUCCUGAGACUUGAGGACUUCCUGGACAAUGCCUGUCACCAACUUUCCCUCAGCCUGGUACCGCAGGGACUGCUUUUUGCCCAGGUGACCUUCUGCGAUCCUGUCAUUGAGAGGCGGCCCCGGCUGCAGAGGCAGGAACGCAUCUUCUCUAAACGCAGAGGCCGCCUUCCGGGACUUCGACUUUGUGUCAGAGCGAUUCCUGGAACCCUGAGGGCAUCUCCUGGCACCUCUGUCCCCUUCCCCCACAGACUGUUAGAGCCUCUGCUCGUUCACCCGUGCGCCCUGCCUGGAGGUCCAGGCCUUGCUGGGUACUUAUGAGCCCUUGGGAUUCAAGGUGGCAGCCAU